Non-coding RNA from Phrynosoma platyrhinos (Desert horned lizard), 72 nucleotides. Lineage: Eukaryota; Metazoa; Chordata; Lepidosauria; Squamata; Phrynosomatidae. The record is from the annotation of a GenBank genome assembly.
GCCAGCAUAGCACAGUGGCUGAAGUGUUGGACUAUGACUCUGAAGACCAGGGUUUGAUUCCCAGCUGAGGCA